UAAAUGGACAUCAACAGUUUGAGGCCGAUGGGAAAAGCAACACGGCGCCCUGAUUGGCCCCUCCAACGAUGACGUCACGAGCCUCCGGCCCAGUACAGACCAGAGAUCAGCGCGCCGCCCAGCAGACCUCCUCCCAGUACAGGCCAGCGCCCAGUAAGAAACAACAAAUUAACUUUAAUAUUUAAGAUUAAUUGGUGGAACAAACAGUAUCCGCCUGUCCAUGUUACCGGCCAGGAGAGGCAGACCCUCAAGAGAGACCAUGAGGUCCAAUCCCCGGAUAUUGCAACACACCACGGCGAUCUUCAACCACAGAAGCCAACAUCCACAUUAACUCGUAAUCAAUUCGUCCAAUGAAGGUGUCCCCUGAAGCACCAACUUGUUUUUGUCUCAGGCCUGCUGCUUGGGUCAGUUAUCACAUAAGCCAUGUUCUGGCCAAGUUUAGCUCCCCCUAGCGCUCUGACAAUUGAAUCACAAUGCCUACAUUCAUUUGAGAUUAAGUAUUUUCAAAUUUGAUUCCUUUAAUUUGUAUACAAAAUUUUAAAUACAGAUUGUUUCAUGAAUGAUCUUUCAUGGCUCUAAACCCUUCAGUGAUCAGAACCAUCAUUGCUGUGAUCCUGAACUUUGUCUUGAAAAUGUAAGGAAGUAUUUUCUUGAUGAAUGUAAAUUAGUCAUGCAACAUAACAGUUGUGCAAGAGAGGCUGGAGAGCAAUACAAAAAUAAAUAAGCGUAGAGUGGUGCAGUACCGACAAUAGGUGGUCAAGUCAUAGUUGACAUUAUUUUAUUUUUCAUUGAAUAACUCUAAUUUAUUUGUUUCCGUGUCUUCGGACCAAGAAUUGAAUCAGAAGAAAUAAACAAGUCCCGAGAUCGAGUGUACAGUUCUGUCCGAGAGAAAACAACAAACCAUGGUCAUCACAUCUCACCCAUCAUCUGCUCUUAGCUGUUAUGGCAUUUUACAUACGCUUUAAAUAGGACUUUUGACCGAAUAAGCAACUCGUUUUGAAACAUAUAUUAGUAUCCUCACUUGAAAGCAACCUUGAAUAAACGUGGUUCCCUGGGUCUGUGCAUAAGGAGCUGACCGAGGCCAGAACAGAACGGUGCUGAUCAGAGACCGGUCCUCUGAGGGGCGGAGACAGUGAUAGACAAACCUAGACCCCACAUCUGAACCUCCCAGUCCUCGUGAUCCUCCGGGACUCCGCUCCAGGCCGUCCCGUUCACAGGGGUUCAGAUGGAACGGUGAUCUGCUGUUACUCCAGUGUAAAAGUCAUUGUCUAGAAAAAUAUUGAGAUUUACAUGAACAUAACUUUUGACUAUGUUACAAUAAAAACUCCAGGUGUGUGUUGAA
Gadus morhua (Atlantic cod) is the source of this 1342-nucleotide long non-coding RNA. RefSeq lists it as uncharacterized. NCBI's taxonomy places the organism in Eukaryota, Metazoa, Chordata, Actinopteri, Gadiformes, Gadidae. The transcript is spliced from 3 exons. The record is from RefSeq and is a predicted model, not a curated record.